UAGGGAAUAUUGGGCAAUGGAGGGAACUCUGACCCAGCCAUGCCGCGUGCAGGAUGAAGGCGUUAUGCGUUGUAAACUGCUUUUAUAUAGGAAGAAAUAGUCCUUGCGAGGAAAGUUGACGGUACUAUAUGAAUAAGCACCGGCUAACUCCGUGCCAGCAGCCGCGGUAAUACGGAGGGUGCAAGCGUUGUCCGGAUUUAUUGGGUUUAAAGGGUGCGUAGGCGGUUUAUUAAGUCAGUGGUGAAAGACGGUCGCUCAACGAUUGCAGUGCCAUUGAUACUGGUAGACUUGAGUAUGAUUGAGGUAGCUGGAAUGGAUAGUGUAGCGGUGAAAU
This 334-nucleotide ribosomal RNA is filed under the name uncultured bacterium. RNAcentral describes it as "bacterial SSU rRNA". It matches the Rfam family "Bacterial small subunit ribosomal RNA", at positions 355 to 687 of the family's 1533-position model. The record is from RNAcentral.